CCGGCGAGGGGAGUGAAAAAGAACCUGAAACCGUGUACGUACAAGCAGUGGGAGCACCCUUCGGGGUGUGACUGCGUACCUUUUGUAUAAUGGGUCAGCGACUUAUAUUCUGUAGCAAGGUUAACCGAAUAGGGGAGCCGGAGGGAAACCGAGUCUUAAUUGGGCGUUAAGUUGCAGGGUAUAGACCCGAAACCCGGUGAUCUAGCCAUGGGCAGGUUGAAGGUUGGGUAACACUAACUGGAGGACCGAACCGACUAAUGUUGAAAAAUUAGCGGAUGACCUGUGGCUGGGGGUGAAAGGCCAAUCAAACCGGGAGAUAGCUGGUUCUCCCCGAAAGCUAUUUAGGUAGCGCCUCGUGAAUUCAUCUCCGGGGGUAGAGCACUGUUUCGGCUAGGGGGCCAUCCCGGCUUACCAACCCGAUGCAAACUGCGAAUACCGGAGAAUGUUAUCACGGGAGACACACGGCGGGUGCUAACGUCCGUCGUGAAGAGGGAAACAACCCAGACCGCCAGCUAAGGUCCCAAAGUCAUGGUUAAGUGGGAAACGAUGUGGGAAGGCCCAGACAGCCAGGAUGUUGGCUUAGAAGCAGCCAUCAUUUAAAGAAAGCGUAAUAGCUCACUGGUCGAGUCGGCCUGCGCGGAAGAUGUAACGGGGCUAAACCAUGCACCGAAGCUGCGGCAGCGACACUGUGUGUUGUUGGGUAGGGGAGCGUUCUGUAAGCCUGUGAAGGUGUGUCGUGAGGCAUGCUGGAGGUAUCAGAAGUGCGAAUGCUGACAUAAGUAACGAUAAAGCGGGUGAAAAGCCCGCUCGCCGGAAGACCAAGGGUUCCUGUCCAACGUUAAUCGGGGCAGGGUGAGUCGACCCCUAAGGCGAGGCCGAAAGGCGUAGUCGAUGGGAAACGGGUUAAUAUUCCCGUACUUGGUGUUACUGCGAAGGGGGGACGGAGAAGGCUAUGUUGGCCGGGCGACGGUUGUCCCGGUUUAAGCGUGUAGGUGUGUGUUCCAGGUAAAUCCGGUUCACUUUAACACUGAGGCGUGACGACGAGGCACUACGGUGCUGAAGCAACAAAUGCCCUGCUUCCAGGAAAAGCCUCUAAGCAUCAGGUAACAUCAAAUCGUACCCCAAACCGACACAGGUGGUCAGGUAGAGAAUACCAAGGCGCUUGAGAGAACUCGGGUGAAGGAACUAGGCAAAAUGGUGCCGUAACUUCGGGAGAAGGCACGCUGACACGUAGGUGAAGUGAUUUACUCAUGGAGCUGAAGUCAGUCGAAGAUACCAGCUGGCUGCAACUGUUUAUUAAAAACACAGCACUGUGCAAACACGAAAGUGGACGUAUACGGUGUGACGCCUGCCCGGUGCCGGAAGGUUAAUUGAUGGGGUCAGCGCAAGCGAAGCUCCUGAUCGAAGCCCCGGUAAACGGCGGCCGUAACUAUAACGGUCCUAAGGUAGCGAAAUUCCUUGUCGGGUAAGUUCCGACCUGCACGAAUGGCGUAAUGAUGGCCAGGCUGUCUCCACCCGAGACUCAGUGAAAUUGAACUCGCUGUGAAGAUGCAGUGUACCCGCGGCAAGACGGAAAGACCCCGUGAACCUUUACUAUAGCUUGACACUGAACAUUGAGCCUUGAUGUGUAGGAUAGGUGGGAGGCUUUGAAGCGUGGACGCCAGUCUGCGUGGAGCCGACCUUGAAAUACCACCCUUUAAUGUUUGAUGUUCUAACGUGGACCCGU
RNAcentral lists this ribosomal RNA (1726 nucleotides) under Salmonella enterica subsp. enterica serovar Stanley. RNAcentral describes it as "partial 23S ribosomal RNA". It matches the Rfam family "Bacterial large subunit ribosomal RNA", at positions 526 to 2236 of the family's 2925-position model. The record is from RNAcentral. Lineage: Bacteria; Pseudomonadati; Pseudomonadota; Gammaproteobacteria; Enterobacterales; Enterobacteriaceae.